This 214-nucleotide long non-coding RNA is filed under the name Trifolium pratense (red clover). RNAcentral's name for it is "long non-coding RNA (TPRA_LNC004391)". The record is from RNAcentral. Lineage: Eukaryota; Viridiplantae; Streptophyta; Magnoliopsida; Fabales; Fabaceae.
UAGAUACACCCCAUAUUUUGUUGGACAAGAUCAAGCUUUUCUCUUUUCGGUGGUUAAAGUCGACGAAUGUUACGUUAGCUUAUAACUACCAUAGCUGGUGGUCUAGUCCUAUGAUUUGUUUGGGCUUUGUAUGAUUAUUUUUGAUUCUUUUUCUAUGACUUUUUGUAAUCUUUUGUAGUCUACCUUGCCACGUCUUGUGCUGGGGAGGCUGUUG